Cinara cedri is the source of this 452-nucleotide non-coding RNA. The record is from the annotation of a GenBank genome assembly. NCBI's taxonomy places the organism in Eukaryota, Metazoa, Arthropoda, Insecta, Hemiptera, Aphididae.
CGCAGCAUUUUCAUUGAAACUUAAAUGAUAUCUAUAGUGUACCGUGUAUCCAUUUGAUUUAUUUUUUUCUAAACAUCAUUGUCGAUCGCAAGCUGAAACCGUUAUUAAUGCUACGAAGGAGGGUUAUAAAACACGGGAAAAUAUUGCAAUGGUUCCCAGUCUAACAAGCCUGAUCGUUUCGUUCACCAACUCGAGUGCGAACUCACGUCGGACUUUUAAUCGAAAAAUAAACCUCGAUUUGUUGUACGAAACCGCGUUGUUUAUAGGUAACAGCGAAAAAAUAGCGAUGUGCGAUGUGUAUACUCUACGAAGUAACAAAAAUAUUUUGGAAACCAAUGAUUAUUAUUAGGUACCUAUUAUUUUUCCGAUUAUGAAGUACUUGUGUUUAUGCGCUCCCGUUAUGAAAUGUCGACUGCCGAUUAUAAUAUUGCAAAAUAAGUUUUACUUUUAUU